UGGCGGUUGGUAAUGAUCAACG
This 22-nucleotide unclassified non-coding RNA is filed under the name Chlamydomonas reinhardtii. RNAcentral describes it as "small RNA Cre_3328". Lineage: Eukaryota; Viridiplantae; Chlorophyta; Chlorophyceae; Chlamydomonadales; Chlamydomonadaceae. The record is from RNAcentral.